UACGGAGGGGGCAAGCGUUGUCCGGAAUUAUUGGGCGUAAAGAGCGUGUAGGCGGUCCGGUAAGUCGGCUGUGAAAGUCCAGGGCUCAACCCUGGGAUGCCGGUCGAUACUGCCGGGCUAGAGUUCGGAAGAGGAGUGUGGAAUUCCUGGUGUAGCGGUGAAAUGCGCAGAUAUCAGGAGGAACACCAAUGGUGAAGGCAGCACUCUGGGACGUGACUGACGCUGAGACGCGAAAGCGUGGGGAGCAAACAGG
Molecule: ribosomal RNA, 253 nt
Filed under: uncultured bacterium
Lineage: Bacteria
Description: partial 16S ribosomal RNA
Rfam family: Bacterial small subunit ribosomal RNA
Source: RNAcentral